GAUGAACGCUGGCGGCGUGCCUAGUACAUGCAAGUCGAGCGAACAGACGAGGAGCUUGCUCCUCUGACGUUAGCGGCGGACGGGUGAGUAACACGUGGAUAACCUACCUAUAAGACUGGGAUAACUUCGGGAAACCGGAGCUAAAACCGGAUAAUAUAUUGAACCGCAUGGUUCAAUAGUGAAAGACGGUUUUGCUGUCACUUAUAGAUGGAUCCGCGCCGCAUUAGCUAGUUGGUAAGGUAACGGCUUACCAAGGCAACGAUGCGUAGCCGACCUGAGAGGGUGAUCGGCCACACUGGAACUGAGACACGGUCCAGACUCCUACGGGAGGCAGCAGUAGGGAAUCUUCCGCAAUGGGCGAAAGCCUGACGGAGCAACGCCGCGUGAGUGAUGAAGGUCUUCGGAUCGUAAAACUCUGUUAUUAGGGAAGAACAAAUGUGUAAGUAACUAUGCACGUCUUGACGGUACCUAAUCAGAAAGCCACGGCUAACUACGUG
Molecule: ribosomal RNA, 497 nt
Filed under: uncultured bacterium
Lineage: Bacteria
Description: partial 16S ribosomal RNA
Rfam family: Bacterial small subunit ribosomal RNA
Source: RNAcentral